GAUGAACGCUGGCGGCGUGCCUAAUACAUGCAAGUCGAGCGAACGGACGAGAAGCUUGCUUCUCUGAUGUUAGCGGCGGACGGGUGAGUAACACGUGGAUAACCUACCUAUAAGACUGGGAUAACUUCGGGAAACCGUAGCUAAUACCGGAUAAUAUUUUGAACCGCAUGGUUCAAAAGUGAAAGACGGUCUUGCUGUCACUUAUAGAUGGAUCCGCGCUGCAUUAGCUAGUUGGUAAGGUAACGGCUUACCAAGGCAACGAUGCAUAGCCGACCUGAGCGGGUGAUCGGCCACACUGGAACUGAGACACGGUCCAGACUCCUACGGGAGGCAGCAGUAGGGAAUCUUCCGCAAUGGGCGAAAGCCUGACGGAGCAACGCCGCGUGAGUGAUGAAGGUCUUCGGAUCGUAAAACUCUGUUAUUAGGGAAGAACAUAUGUGUAAGUAACUGUGCACAUCUUGACGGUACCUAAUCAGAAAGCCACGGCUAACUACGUG
This 497-nucleotide ribosomal RNA is filed under the name uncultured bacterium. RNAcentral's name for it is "partial 16S ribosomal RNA". It matches the Rfam family "Bacterial small subunit ribosomal RNA", at positions 28 to 507 of the family's 1533-position model. The record is from RNAcentral.